AUUGAACGCUGGCGGAAUGCUUUACACAUGCAAGUCGAGCGGCAGCACGGACUUCGGUCUGGUGGCGAGUGGCGAACGGGUGAGUAAUAUAUCGGAACGUGCCCAGUCGUGGGGGAUAACGUAGCGAAAGCUACGCUAAUACCGCAUACGAUCUACGGAUGAAAGCGGGGGAUCGCAAGACCUCGCGCGAUUGGAGCGGCCGAUAUCAGAUUAGGUAGUUGGUGAGGUAAAGGCUCACCAAGCCGACGAUCUGUAGCUGGUCUGAGAGGACGAGCAGCCACACUGGGACUGAGACACGGCCCAGACUCCUACGGGAGGGAGCAGUGGGGAAUUUUGGACAAUGGACGCAAGUCUGAUCCAGCCAUUCCGCGGGCAGGACGAAGGCCUUCGGGUUGUAAACUGCUUUUGUACAGAACGAAAAGGUCUCUAUUAAUACUAGGGGCUCAUGACGGUACUGUAAGAAUAAGCACCGGCUAACUACGUGCCAGCCGCCGCCGUAA
RNAcentral lists this ribosomal RNA (500 nucleotides) under uncultured bacterium. RNAcentral's name for it is "partial 16S ribosomal RNA". It matches the Rfam family "Bacterial small subunit ribosomal RNA", at positions 30 to 523 of the family's 1533-position model. The record is from RNAcentral.